UGCAUUCACUAUUGUAAAUCGCACUGGAUAAGAGUGUCUGCUAAAUGACUAAAA
This is a non-coding RNA of Salmo salar (Atlantic salmon), 54 nucleotides long. Lineage: Eukaryota; Metazoa; Chordata; Actinopteri; Salmoniformes; Salmonidae. The record is from Rfam.